Molecule: ribosomal RNA, 253 nt
Filed under: uncultured bacterium
Lineage: Bacteria
Description: partial 16S ribosomal RNA
Rfam family: Bacterial small subunit ribosomal RNA
Source: RNAcentral
UACGUAGGGUGCAAGCGUUAAUCGGAAUUACUGGGCGUAAAGCGUGCGCAGGCGGUUGUGCAAGACCGAUGUGAAAUCCCCGGGCUUAACCUGGGAAUGGCAUUUGGGACUGCAAGGCUGGAGUGUGGCAGAGGAGACUGGAAUUCCCGGUGUAGCAGUGAAAUGCGUAGAUAUCGGGAGGAAUACCGAUGGCGAAGGCAGGUCUCUGGGCUGACACUGACGCUCAUGCACGAAAGCGUGGGGAGCAAACAGG